GACGAACGCUGGCGGCGUGCUUAACACAUGCAAGUCGAACGGUGAAGCUCCAGCUUGCUGGAGUGGAUCAGUGGCGAACGGGUGAGUAACACGUGAGCAACCUGCCCCUGACUCUGGAAUAAGCGCUGGAAACGGCGUCUAAUACUGGAUACGAGAAGGGCCCGCAUGGGCACUUUCUGGAAAGUUUUUCGGUUGGGGAUGGGCUCGCGGCCUAUCAGCUUGCUGGUGAGGUAAUGGCUCACCAAGGCGACGACGGGUAGCCGGCCUGAGAGGGCGACCGGCCACACUGGGACUGAGACACGGCCCAGACUCCUACGGGAGGCAGCAGUGGGGAAUAUUGCACAAUGGGCGAAAGCCUGAUGCAGCGACGCCGCGUGAGGGAUGACGGCCUUCGGGUUGUAAACCUCUUUCAGCAGGGAAGAAGCGAAAGUGGCGGUACCUGCAGAAGAAGCACCGGCUAACUACGUG
Molecule: ribosomal RNA, 468 nt
Filed under: uncultured bacterium
Lineage: Bacteria
Description: partial 16S ribosomal RNA
Rfam family: Bacterial small subunit ribosomal RNA
Source: RNAcentral